Epinephelus lanceolatus (giant grouper) is the source of this 1105-nucleotide non-coding RNA. The record is from RefSeq and is a predicted model, not a curated record. NCBI's taxonomy places the organism in Eukaryota, Metazoa, Chordata, Actinopteri, Perciformes, Serranidae.
CAGUGCAUUGCAGCCGGCGCUUCCUCUGCUGAAUGGAAUGAAAGCAUGUCCGGAUCGCAUCGUGGCUCUGACACCGAGUGAGCUCUGCAUCUUUAAAACAGAAAAAAAACCCGGCAAAGAAAAACACACAAGCAGCUCAGUCAUAACUGUGGGAUGAUAAGGACUACCUCUUUUUACUUUUGGAGAGAGCCAAGCCGUUAGGAGAGCAUUCAGCAUCAGCUGUUCAACACUGGUCUCUCAUUGCUGGAAGUCGGGGCUGAAUCAGUCACAUGACAGAACUGGAGGCAGAGAUCUAGAGAAAAGGCACAGCAUUUCGGCUUGCACCGCCAUACUGUAUUUUGAGCCAUAUCACAUUUUUAUUGCAACAUUUUACUCCCGCUCGGUGAGUACAUUUCCAAUGGCUUUUUUGUAAGCAUUUUUUGUCUUUUUAAUUGCCCCCUUUUUUAUUUUUCCUCCUUUUGCUGGUGUUUGAAUUGAGCAUUGACAUGGUGGUUUUGAGCGUUUUUCACAUGCAGGCUUCAAGUUUUUAGCAUGCAGUUAUUCUGAUCGAGAGUGCCAAGAGGGUAAUCGGUGCCUUAUCGGUCUUGAGAAAGCCUUGACUUGCUUGCAGUUUUGUUUCGAGGGUCGAAACCAAGCAGCUUUUGUCAGUAUUGAGAUUUUUCAAAACAAUUUAUUGGUGGGUUUUGAAACAUUUUUAUUUUUUUGUUUCUGUCGACUUUUGCUGUUGCUAUGCUUUGGUUUGCAUUUUGCAGUGUUGUUUGUUGCCUUCGAGUUUUGUGAUUUUGAUGUGUCGGUGAAUCUCACCGAUCCAAAAAAAAAGAAAGACACCCUUUGCUUUUACUUUGUUCCUCUUUUCUUUAUAAAAAGGAGUCAUUUUUAAAGCCCCAUGACGUUUUAACGUGCUACUUUUCUUGCAGCUGAGCUCACAGAUGAUGCUGGGUGGACGAGGGGAGUUUUGAUUCUUGGGGGAGUUCAAUGCGUUUUUGUUUUCUGUAUCAACGAGGAUGAACAGACAUUUUCCCUUUUGCAGGUAUAUAUAUAUAAUAUGAGUGGAUAAGUGACACGUUUCUGUAUUUACAAUAAAGACUGAGGUGACAGAAAUAUG